CCUACGGGAGGCAGCAGUGGGGAAUAUUGCACAAUGGGGGCAACCCUGAUGCAGCGACGCCGCGUGAGUGAAGAAGUAAUUCGUUAUGUAAAGCUCUAUCAGCAGGGAAGAAAAUGACGGUACCUGAGUAAGAAGCCCCGGCUAACUACGUGCCAGCAGCCGCGGUAAUACGUAGGGGGCAAGCGUUAUCCGGAUUUACUGGGUGUAAAGGGUGCGUAGACGGCAGUGCAAGUCUGGAGUGAAAGGCGGGGGCUCAACCCCCGGACUGCUCUGGAAACUGGACGGCUGGAGUGCAGGAGAGGUAAGUGGAAUUCCUAGUGUAGCGGUGAAAUGCGUAGAUAUUAGGAGGAACACCAGUGGCGAAGGCGGCUUACUGGACUGUAACUGACGUUGAGGCUCGAAAGCGUGGGGAGCAAACAGGAUUAGAUACCCGAGUAGUC
Molecule: ribosomal RNA, 440 nt
Filed under: uncultured bacterium
Lineage: Bacteria
Description: partial 16S ribosomal RNA
Rfam family: Bacterial small subunit ribosomal RNA
Source: RNAcentral